UACGGGAGUGGCAAGCGUUAUCCGGAAUUAUUGGGCGUAAAGCGCGCGUAGGUGGUUUGUUAAGUUGGAUGUGAAAGCCCUGGGCUCAACCUAGGAACUGCAUCCAAAACUUAUAAACUAGAGUACGAAAGAGGAGAGUAGAAUUCAUGGUGUAGCGGUGAAAUGCGUAGAGAUCAUGAGGAAUACCAGUGGCGAAGGCGGCCUCCUGGAUCUGUACUGACACUGAGGUGCGAAAGCGUGGGUAGCGAACAGG
This 253-nucleotide ribosomal RNA is filed under the name uncultured bacterium. RNAcentral's name for it is "partial 16S ribosomal RNA". It matches the Rfam family "Bacterial small subunit ribosomal RNA", at positions 524 to 776 of the family's 1533-position model. The record is from RNAcentral.